GGGGCAGUAGCUCAGUUGGUUAGAGCCCCGGACUCAUAGUCCGAUGUUCCAAACUCAUCUUGGUUACUCGU
RNAcentral lists this transfer RNA (71 nucleotides) under Actinomycetota bacterium. Its description in RNAcentral is "Actinobacteria bacterium (freshwater metagenome) tRNA-Met". The record is from RNAcentral. Lineage: Bacteria; Bacillati; Actinomycetota.